AGCGAACGCUGGCGGCAGGCCUAACACAUGCAAGUCGAACGGACCCUUCGGGGUUAGUGGCGGACGGGUGAGUAACACGUGGGAACGUGCCUUUAGGUUCGGAAUAGCUCCUGGAAACGGGUGGUAAUGCCGAAUGUGCCCUUCGGGGGAAAGAUUUAUCGCCUUUAGAGCGGCCCGCGUCUGAUUAGCUAGUUGGUGAGGUAAAGGCUGACCAAGGCGACGAUCAGUAGCUGGUCUGAGAGGAUGAUCAGCCACAUUGGGACUGAGACACGGCCCAAACUCCUACGGGAGGCAGCAGUGGGGAAUCUUGCGCAAUGGGCGAAAGCCUGACGCAGCCAUGCCGCGUGAAUGAUGAAGGUCUUAGGAUUGUAAAAUUCUUUCACUGGGGACGAUAAUGACGGUACCCGGAGAAGAAGCCCCGGCUAACUUCGUGCCAGCCGCCGCUGUAA
Molecule: ribosomal RNA, 449 nt
Filed under: uncultured bacterium
Lineage: Bacteria
Description: partial 16S ribosomal RNA
Rfam family: Bacterial small subunit ribosomal RNA
Source: RNAcentral